UACGUAGGCAGCGAGCGUUGUUCGGCGUUACUGGGCGUAAAGGGUGUGUAGGCGGUUGUUUAAGUUUGGUGUGAAAUCUCCCGGCUCAACUGGGAGGGUGCGCCGAAUACUGAAUGACUUGGAGUGCGGGAGAGGAGAGUGGAAUUCCUGGUGUAGCGGUGAAAUGCGUAGAUAUCAGGAGGAACACCGGUGGUGUAGACGGCUCUCUGGACCGUAACUGACGCUGAGACACGAAAGCGUGGGUAGCAAACAGG
RNAcentral lists this ribosomal RNA (254 nucleotides) under uncultured bacterium. RNAcentral describes it as "partial 16S ribosomal RNA". It matches the Rfam family "Bacterial small subunit ribosomal RNA", at positions 524 to 776 of the family's 1533-position model. The record is from RNAcentral.